Molecule: ribosomal RNA, 404 nt
Filed under: Pseudomonas sp.
Lineage: Bacteria; Pseudomonadati; Pseudomonadota; Gammaproteobacteria; Pseudomonadales; Pseudomonadaceae
Also listed under: 3 other names
Description: partial 16S ribosomal RNA
Rfam family: Bacterial small subunit ribosomal RNA
Source: RNAcentral
UGGGGAAUAUUGGACAAUGGGCGCAAGCCUGAUCCAGCCAUGCCGCGUGAGUGAUGAAGGCCCUAGGGUUGUAAAGCUCUUUCACCGGUGAAGAUAAUGACGGUAACCGGAGAAGAAGCCCCGGCUAACUUCGUGCCAGCAGCCGCGGUAAUACGAAGGGGGCUAGCGUUGUUCGGAUUUACUGGGCGUAAAGCGCACGUAGGCGGACUUUUAAGUCAGGGGUGAAAUCCCGGGGCUCAACCCCGGAACUGCCUUUGAUACUGGAAGUCUUGAGUAUGGUAGAGGUGAGUGGAAUUCCGAGUGCAGAGGUGAAAUUCGUAGAUAUUCGGAGGAACACCAGUGGCGAAGGCGGCUCACUGGACCAUUACUGACGCUGAGGUGCGAAAGCGUGGGGAGCAAACAGG